GCAGCACAUAUACUAAAAUUGGAACAAUACAGAGAUUAGCAUGGCCCCUACACUAGGAUGGCAUGCAAAUUCAUGAAGCGUUCCAUAUUUUU
This 92-nucleotide small nuclear RNA is filed under the name Dasypus novemcinctus (nine-banded armadillo). Lineage: Eukaryota; Metazoa; Chordata; Mammalia; Cingulata; Dasypodidae. The record is from RNAcentral.